Molecule: ribosomal RNA, 253 nt
Filed under: uncultured bacterium
Lineage: Bacteria
Description: partial 16S ribosomal RNA
Rfam family: Bacterial small subunit ribosomal RNA
Source: RNAcentral
UACGAAGGGGGCUAGCGUUGUUCGGAAUUACUGGGCGUAAAGCGCGCGUAGGCGGUGAUCUUUGUCAGAGGUGAAAGCCCGGGGCUCAACUCCGGAAUUGCCUUUGAAACGGGAUCGCUAGAGUCCGAGAGAGGAUGGCGGAAUUCCUAGUGUAGAGGUGAAAUUCGUAGAUAUUAGGAAGAACACCGGUGGCGAAGGCGGCUAUCUGGACGGUUUCUGACACUAAGACUCGAAAGCGUGGGGAGCAAACAGG